GAUGAACGCUGGCGGCGUGCCUAAUACAUGCAAGUCGAGCGAACGGACGAGAAGCUUGCUUCUCUGAUGUUAGCGGCGGACGGGUGAGUAACACGUGGAUAACCUACCUAUAAGACUGGGAUAACUUCGGGAAACCGGAGCUAAUACCGGAUAAUAUUUUGAACCGCAUGGUUCAAAAGUGAAAGACGGUCUUGCUGUCACUUAUAGAUGGAUCCGCGCUGCAUUAGCUAGUUGGUAAGGUAACGGCUUACCAAGGCAACGAUGCAUAGCCGACCUGAGAGGGUGAACGGCCACACUGGAACUGAGACACGGUCCAGACUCCUACGGGAGGCAGCAGUAGAGAAUCUUCCGCAAGGGGCGAAAGCCUGACGGAGCAACGCCGCGUGAGUGAUGAAGGUCUUCGGAUCGUAAAACUCUGUUAUUAGGGAAGAACAUAUGUGUAAGUAGCUGUGCACAUCUUGACGGUACCUAAUCAGAAAGCCACGGCUAACUACGUG
Molecule: ribosomal RNA, 497 nt
Filed under: uncultured bacterium
Lineage: Bacteria
Description: partial 16S ribosomal RNA
Rfam family: Bacterial small subunit ribosomal RNA
Source: RNAcentral